GACGAACGCUGGCGGCGUGCCUAAUACAUGCAAGUCGAGCGGACGAAUCGAAAGCUUGCUUUUGAUUCGUUAGCGGCGGACGGGUGAGUAACACGUGGGCAACCUGCCCUGUAGACGGGGAUAACACCGAGAAAUCGGUGCUAAUACCGGAUAACACGAAAUGUCGCAUGACGUUUCGUUGAAAGACGGCGCAAGCUGCCGCUACAGGAUGGGCCCGCGGCGCAUUAGCUAGUUGGUGAGGUAACGGCUCACCAAGGCGACGAUACGUAGCCGACCUGAGAGGGUGAUCGGCCACACUGGAACUGAGACACGGCCCAGACUCCUACGGGAGGCAGCAGUAGGGAAUCUGCCGCAAUGGACGAAAGUCUGACGGAGCAACGCCGCGUGAGCGAAGAAGGCCUUCGGGUCGUAAAGCUCUGUUGUUAGGGAAGAACAAGUAACGCAGUAACUGGCGUUACCGUGACGGUACCUAACGAGAAAGCCACGGCUAACUACGUG
RNAcentral lists this ribosomal RNA (498 nucleotides) under uncultured bacterium. RNAcentral describes it as "partial 16S ribosomal RNA". It matches the Rfam family "Bacterial small subunit ribosomal RNA", at positions 28 to 507 of the family's 1533-position model. The record is from RNAcentral.